Molecule: non-coding RNA, 107 nt
Organism: Callithrix jacchus (white-tufted-ear marmoset)
Lineage: Eukaryota; Metazoa; Chordata; Mammalia; Primates; Cebidae
Source: Rfam
AGAAAGGAUUUUCAUCCACCCUGAAUGUGCCUGAUCUCAUCUGAUCUCAGACACUAAGCAGGGUCAAGCCUGCUUAGUACUUGGAUGGAAAUAAGAUAUUCUUAAUA